RNAcentral lists this ribosomal RNA (250 nucleotides) under Rhipicephalus sanguineus (brown dog tick). RNAcentral's name for it is "partial large subunit ribosomal RNA". The record is from RNAcentral. Lineage: Eukaryota; Metazoa; Arthropoda; Arachnida; Ixodida; Ixodidae.
AAUGCUAAGAGAAUGGAAGUUCAGAAAAAAACUUUUUUUAAAUUAAAAAUUGAAGUUUUUUUAAUUUGUGCAGAAACAAUUAUUUAUAUUAAAGACAAGAAGACCCUAUGAAUUUAUUAAAUUUUUAUUUAAUAUGUAAUUACUAUUAAAAAAAUUUUAGCUGGGGCGGCUAGAAAAUAUUAUAAACUUUUUAAAAAUAAAAUGAUCCAUUAUUAAUGAUUUUAUGUUAAAUACUCUAGGGAUAACAGCG